GUCAUAAUUUUCCCCAUCCGUCUAUAAAACAACGGCAUUCUCUCCUCCUUCAACGGCAUCAUAGCUAUCCUUGGGUUGGACGAAUUAUCCGAAGAAGAUCGUUUAACUGUAGCACAAGAGCACGAAAAAUUGAGCGUUUCUUAUCACAACCCUUCUUCGUAGCAGAAGUAUUUACGGGUUCUCCAGUGAAAUAUGUUGGUCUCGCAGAAACAAUUAGGGGGUUCAGCCAAUAUAUUCCCGAAAAGUCGAAAACUAAGGUGUGCUGAGGUUUUCUUCUUACAUGGUGUUGAGUGUUGACUGUUGAGAAGAUGUGGUGAGGUUUUCGUCUUACAAGGUGUUGACCGUUGAGGAGAGGUGGUGAGGAUUUUUUCUCACAAGGUGUUGAAGAGGGAGAGGUGGUGAGGUUUUUUUCUCACAAGGUGUUGAGGAGGGAGAGGUGGUGAGGUUUAAUUCUCACAAGGUGUUGAGGAGGGAGAGGUGGUGAGGUUCUUUUCUCACAAGGUGUUGAGGACGGAGAGGUGGUGAGGUUUAAUUCUCACAAGGUGGUGUUGAGGAGGGAGAGGUGGUGAGGUUUUCUUCUUACAAGGUGUAAGUUUUAAGGGGAGCAGCUUGCUUGCUUGCUGAUUGGCAUCUUCAGGAGGCCGAAAUUCCAGCUUUUUCUUCUCUUAAAGCUUGGAGUUGGAGGGAGAUUCUCUUCACCGGCGGAUCCUCGGAGAGAUUAAAGAUUAUUGUAGCGAGUCUUAGCUCGCAGGACUUGGUGAACCCAACUCUGUAGCUCGGAGCCAGGUAGGCUCUCGCACUGAGUAUUCCGUAUUUCUGGCA
Dioscorea cayenensis subsp. rotundata (Guinea yam) is the source of this 822-nucleotide long non-coding RNA. RefSeq lists it as uncharacterized. The record is from RefSeq and is a predicted model, not a curated record. NCBI's taxonomy places the organism in Eukaryota, Viridiplantae, Streptophyta, Magnoliopsida, Dioscoreales, Dioscoreaceae. The transcript is spliced from 3 exons.